This 553-nucleotide ribosomal RNA is filed under the name uncultured Candidatus Saccharibacteria bacterium. Its description in RNAcentral is "bacterial SSU rRNA". It matches the Rfam family "Bacterial small subunit ribosomal RNA", at positions 495 to 1045 of the family's 1533-position model. Lineage: Bacteria; Candidatus Saccharimonadota. The record is from RNAcentral.
GGCUAACUACGUGCCAGCAGCCGCGGUCAUACGUAGGGUGCAAGCAUUAUCCGGAGUGACUGGGCGUAAAGAGUUGCGUAGGUGGUUUGUUAAGUGAAUAGUGAAAUCUGGCGGCUCAACCGUACAGACUAUUAUUCAAACUGGCAAGCUCGAGAAUGGUAGAGGUAACUGGAAUUUCUAGUGUAGGAGUGAAAUCCGUAGAUAUUAGAAGGAACACCAAUGGCGUAGGCAGGUUACUGGACCAUUUCUGACACUAAGGCACGAAAGCGUGGGGAGCGAACCGGAUUAGAUACCCGGGUAGUCCACGCCGUAAACUAUGGAUACUAGCUGUUGGAGGUAUCGACCCCUUCAGUAGCGAAGCUAACGCGUUAAGUAUCCCGCCUGUGGAGUACGGUCGCAAGACUAAAACAUAAAGGAAUUGACGGGGACCCGCACAAGCGGUGGAGCGUGUUGUUUAAUUCGACGGUAAGCGAAGAACCUUACCAGGGUUUGACAUCCUGCCAAGUUUCCCGAAAGGGAAAUGUGCCUUCGGGCCGCAGUGACAGGUGCUGCA